This is a long non-coding RNA of Eurytemora carolleeae, 547 nucleotides long. RefSeq lists it as uncharacterized. The record is from RefSeq and is a predicted model, not a curated record. NCBI's taxonomy places the organism in Eukaryota, Metazoa, Arthropoda, Copepoda, Calanoida, Temoridae. The transcript has 5 exons.
UUCUCUUAAUUACAGAUACUUGAUAUUAUAUACCUAAAGCAUUAUGUUCGGCAAGUCUUCACACAACCCCCAAUGAAGGCCAGGGUGGAGACCAUACGUUAGGGGAGGACUGACGUGGAGAAUAAAGAGAACGGAGCUGACUAUAAUAAUAGUCUUCAUCACGAGUCUUCUCAGGACUUCAGUGACUAGUAUUGACGAGAAAAUGUCUACAGAUUACAUGUCAUUUAACUACAAAUCAGAAGAGUAUCAGCCCAGCAAAUAAACAGCGAUCACGACUCUAGUAAAAUUUCUCAAAGGCGUAACGUGUUCCUAUUAAUGUAAACAACCAAAACAGAAUCCAUUUUGUUUGGUUCGGCUGGGUUUGGUUUGGUUGUUGAGCUUGGCAUGAUGUGAAGCAAAAUGCCGGGAAUAGACGUUAAAAUGGGGCCUUAUGGUGGAGAGAGGGGCCCUCAGCUGACUCAGGAUAGGUAUAACAGUGAGGACAGCUUGGAGGACAAUCAGUCCUCAACCUCCAGUACAGAGAGCAGCAGACAAUCAGACUUCGUCA